CCUACGGGGGGCUGCAGUGAGGAAUUUUGCGCAAUGGCCGCAAGUCUGACGCAGCAACGCCGCGUGGGUGAUGAAGGCCUUCGGGUCGUAAAGCCCUGUCAGGUGGGAAGAAAGGCCUUGAUAAGAAACGGUUGAGGUUUGACGGUACCACCCGAGGAAGCACCGGCUAACUCCGUGCCAGCAGCCGCGGUAAUACGGAGGGUGCGAGCGUUGUUCGGAAUUACUGGGCGUAAGGCGCGAAGAGGCAGGUGAAAGCCCUGGGCUUAACCUGGGAAGUGCAUUGGAAACUGCAUUGCUUGAGUACUGGAGAGGAAGGGGGAAUUCCCGGUGUAGAGGUGAAAUGCGUAGAGAUCGGGAGGAAUACCAGUGGCGUAGGCGCCCUGCUGGACGGUAACUGACGCUGAGACGCGAAAGCGUGGGGAGCAAACAGGAUUAGAUACCCCAGUAGUC
This 450-nucleotide ribosomal RNA is filed under the name uncultured bacterium. RNAcentral's name for it is "partial 16S ribosomal RNA". It matches the Rfam family "Bacterial small subunit ribosomal RNA", at positions 338 to 795 of the family's 1533-position model. The record is from RNAcentral.